UACAGAGGGUGCAAGCGUUAUCCGGAUUUAUUGGGCGUAAAGCGUUUCGUAGGCGGAAUGGUAAGUUACUUUUCAAAGACCACGGCUCAACCGGGGGAAGGGAAGUAAUACUGCCAAACUUGAUUUUCGGUGGGGCUUCUGGAACUGAUGGUGUAGUAGUGAAAUACGUUGAUAUCAUCAGGAACUCCGAGGGCGAAGGCAGGAAGCUAACCGAUAAAUGACGCUGAGGAACGACAGCUAGGGGA
This 245-nucleotide ribosomal RNA is filed under the name uncultured bacterium. RNAcentral describes it as "partial 16S ribosomal RNA". It matches the Rfam family "Bacterial small subunit ribosomal RNA", at positions 524 to 767 of the family's 1533-position model. The record is from RNAcentral.